AUGCCCAUUUUCGCGAUAGGUGUAGCACGACUCCUUCAGCUGGUGCUACCCCAGGCUCCCGCGCCCACACAUACUGACCAAUUUCUGGACUGGUGGCACGCUACCACGUUGGCCGUUCCGGCGGCGCAUCAUAAAGGCAUCUCCUCGCUCACUCUCCUGAUCGCCUGGUCCAUAUGAAAGCAUCGCAAGUCCUGCAUCUUUGACGGCACCGCACCCUCUCCGACCAAGCUUCUCCAGGACGUCCAAGAGGAGGCUCGCUCAUGGGCCAAGGCAGGGGUCAAAGGGACUAGCCAUCAUCACACCGUAGGCGCCGUAGGCUAG
This 321-nucleotide ribosomal RNA is filed under the name Triticum aestivum (bread wheat). RNAcentral describes it as "partial small subunit ribosomal RNA". The record is from RNAcentral. Lineage: Eukaryota; Viridiplantae; Streptophyta; Magnoliopsida; Poales; Poaceae.